Molecule: ribosomal RNA, 540 nt
Filed under: Triticum aestivum (bread wheat)
Lineage: Eukaryota; Viridiplantae; Streptophyta; Magnoliopsida; Poales; Poaceae
Description: partial small subunit ribosomal RNA
Source: RNAcentral
AUGUGCGACCUCGUGGCCCGCACGGGGCGCCACCAGCAGCGGUACGAAGACGGCAGACGGCUCGUCGCCGGGUGCAUACCAUUCAGGUAUAGAGCUGAUGAAACUUCUGGUGAUGAACAGAAAAAAGUUGUUGAAGUUCUCAUGAUAAACUCCCAAAGCGGACCAGGUUUAUUAUUCCCCAAGGGAGGAUGGGAGAACGAUGAAACGGUUGAACAAGCAGCUGCUCGAGAAGCUAUAGAAGAAGCUGGAGUUCGAGGAGAUAUAGUGCAAUUUCUAGGUUUCUACGAUUUCAAGAGCAAGACGCAUCAGGACGCGUGCUGCCCCGAGGGCAUGUGCAGAGCGGCAGUGUUUGCGCUGCACGUGAAGGAGGAGCUGGCCUCAUGGCCCGAGCAGAGCACCCGCCGGAGGACCUGGCUGACGGUCCCCGAAGCCACGUCACAAUGUCGAUACCAGUGGAUGCAAGAGGCCUUGCUGACGGGCUUCUCUGAGUGGCAUGACAACUGGAGCAAAGGCGGCAGUGCAGGUGGCGACCCAAUCUAA